UACGUAGGCAGCAAGCGUUGUUCGGAAUUACUGGGCGUAAAGCGAGUGUAGGUGGUGCGAUAAGUUUGGUGUGAAAUCUCCCGGCUCAACUGGGAGGGUGCGCCGAAGACUGUCGCGCUAGAGUGUGGGAGAGGUAGGCGGAAUUCCUGGUGUAGCGGUGAAAUGCGUAGAUAUCAGGAGGAACACCUGUGGUGUAGACAGCUUACUGGACCACUUCUGACGCUGAGGCACGAAAGCGUGGGUAGCAAACAGG
This 253-nucleotide ribosomal RNA is filed under the name uncultured bacterium. RNAcentral describes it as "partial 16S ribosomal RNA". It matches the Rfam family "Bacterial small subunit ribosomal RNA", at positions 524 to 776 of the family's 1533-position model. The record is from RNAcentral.